GAUGAAGAACGUAUCGAAAUGCGAUAAGUAGUGUGAAUUGCAGAAUUCAGUGAAUCAUCGAAUCUUUGAACGCACAUUGCGCCCCUUGGUAUUCCAUGGGGCAUGCCUGUUCGAGCGUCAUUUGUACCUUCAAGCCUUGCUUGGUGUUGGGUGUUUGUCUCGCCUCUGCGCGCAGACUCGCCUCAAAACAAUUGGCAGCCGGCGUAUUGAUUUCGGAGCGCAGUACAUCUCGCGCUUUGCACUCAGAACGACGACGUCCAAAAGUACAUUUUUACACUCUUGACCUCGGAUCAGGUAGGGAUACCCGCUGAACUUAAGCAUAUCAAUAAGCGGAGGA
RNAcentral lists this unclassified non-coding RNA (337 nucleotides) under soil metagenome. RNAcentral describes it as "partial contains 5.8S ribosomal RNA, internal transcribed spacer 2, and large subunit ribosomal RNA". The stretch from base 1 to 120 matches the Rfam family "5.8S ribosomal RNA", at positions 35 to 154 of the family's 154-position model. The record is from RNAcentral.